Molecule: long non-coding RNA, 2077 nt
Organism: Gasterosteus aculeatus aculeatus (three-spined stickleback)
Lineage: Eukaryota; Metazoa; Chordata; Actinopteri; Perciformes; Gasterosteidae
Source: Ensembl
GCAGCCCAAGUGACUGGAACGAUUUGCUGUUGCAGGCGUAAGCAUGAACAUAACAGCGCCUUUAGUUCCAAGCAAUUAAGCAGUAAUGUGCAGAGCGGCCGCCCAGCAUCCGUCUGCGUCUCCAUCUCGAGCCUGUCUUUAGCCUCCAGCACACGCCACUUGUGAUCGUGCAUCCCGCCUGAAGCACCAGGUGCAGUCCUCAAGAGAUGCCUCCAUCCCCACAACCUCCUUCCUCCCAACACCACUGCGACCUCACUCAGAAUGCAUGAAGAGGAGGAGAAAGAAGAAGAAGACGGAGAAGAAAUAAAUAAAGGCGAAAUGAGCCCCAGAACCGGGAGGAGAGGAGGAGAAGGAGAGAAAGGAGACGGAGAGGAGCAUUGUGGGCCCCUUUGCUCCGGUCUCGACCACGGGUAUUCUUGGGUUGAUAAUACAGAUGUGGAUGUUAUUGCUUGAGAAUACGCGUAGUCGAGUGGAGGCUUCAUCAUCUACAGUCGACCCAAAAGCAGAGCUCCAACCAGUAGAGUAUACCGAGGCGUGACACCAGGCACAUACGUGUGAAUGUAGCGAGCUGAGCUAGUGAUAGCGACACAGGGUGGUUUUUAAUGAAGCACCCAGAGGUGACUUUUUCUGGGCUUUAUUUUGUUCAAUCAGAAAUGGUUUUGUUAUUUUAAAAUGGAAUUCACGGCUACAGCCAAAUCCAAUUGGAUUGCCAGCAGCUGAAGAGUUGGGUUUUUUCUCUCUCUCUCUCACUCUGCUGGGUUUAUCAACCAUGUCCCUCUCUCACACCUGUGGAAUAAAUGAGUUGGUCUCGCUGGCCAGGUUUAGCCUUCCCUACUCGGCAGUGCUGCUGGAGAUGACUCGCACCUUGCAUUUAAGCUAACCCCCCUCCCCACCCCCCGUCCUGGGGGCAUUAGUUUCGGGGAGCUUAAACCCAAAGUCCCCAUACUCAGACUUUAAUUCCAAACCCUACUUGAUUACAUUACCCUUGUCGGUCCGUGGUGCUUACAAGUGAGCCUAUAAUCUUAUCAGCUGAUGAGUGUAUCUCACCGCCUGUCACACGCCCUGCAACAAACGUUUUCCCUCGCGCUGAGCGGAAAUGUGCAAAAUGAAUAUAAAUUAAAUUGGCUCCUCGGACGCAAGCGGGACGGUACAACGUGAGCGUAACCUCCCAUCUCAUCUGACUCCCCUGGCUCGUGCUAUAGGAGCGUGUGAGAGUUUGAUGCCUGAAUCGGCAACAGGCGACAUAACACAUGAGUACAUGUCAAGACUCGCACCCCUGGCUGACAUCUCAGCUGACUGGCUGUAUAUAAUUGGCAGGAGGGGAUUACAUGAUCUAUGCCAGAGGGGAAAUUAUGGGGUCGAUGGAUCUUACAAAAGCAAUACAGACUACCCCCAUAUGUUUGAAUACACACAAACACACACCGGGCGCAGCUGGGUUCACCGGGUCCAGUGUGCCAGUGGGGAAAUAAGGGAUUGAUUGACUUUAUGGGUGACUAUUUUUAGUCAGAGUGAUGGAUGUUUAUGUCUUUUAUUGAUCGAGUCGAGCUGUGGGUCUGAGGCGUUGUUGGACGUCGUGGUGUGCUGAUUGAUCAGGUGUUGGAAUAAAACAGCCCCGGUUUACAUUUUUGGUGCAUUAGCAUUAUUGCAAAAGUUAUAAAUUAGAAAAUCAACAUUUCAUUGCAAAUUCAGCAAUAUAUUAGCAUUCGUUUGCAAAUGUGCCCGUGAUGAAUUGCAGUCCUCUCAUGCGCCACUCCGUGAUUUCUUACUACUGCGUAAGCAAAUCGGGUAUUUAUUAGCGUGGUGUGUAAUUCUAAUAUAUACCAAUGUUCACCCUGACGUUGUGUAAACUUGUUAAUCCGCCAAAGCCAUUUCUGUGUUUUGUGUGUGUUUGCGUGUGCGCUACUAAGCAACAAAAUGACUAUUGUGAGGUCAGUUCCAGGUACCUAGCAACCAAAAUCGCUCAGUUUCCCAGGCAACCGUUGCCUCGCACUCACUGUGUGGGUGAUUGGCAGCCUUGACAACGGAGAAGGGAGUGACACUUGACCUCGCGUGCUGAAUGGGAGAGGAGAAAGAGGGA